Molecule: unclassified non-coding RNA, 479 nt
Filed under: Bombus terrestris (buff-tailed bumblebee)
Lineage: Eukaryota; Metazoa; Arthropoda; Insecta; Hymenoptera; Apidae
Description: misc RNA ENSBTSG00005033812.1
Source: RNAcentral
CGACAUGGAAAUAGAAAGAGAAGGCUGUAUAUAAGCAUUUUCUGUCCUUGUUUAAUCAGGCAUGCACACUAGUGGACACUGACGGCGCUCGUUUACCGUUGUUACAUAUUUCCGGUACAAGUACGCGGGCAUUAGAGAAGGACGGAACGGUCUCUCUCUUUACCCCUAUAUCGCGUUUUUAGUUCGCUCACGCGCUCUGUACUUAUAUCUAUUACAUUUCCACCAUAAGCAGCGGCCGUGCAGUGACUUACAAAAGUUUCGAACUCGCGGACGUUUAAUCACGUUCCCUACUCCGAAGGGAUAUUUCUGGUCUACGCACUCCAGUGCCCGCACAACUUAUAUUAAAACACCUGAUUUUCCCAUUCUACAGCAACAAAUUUCCUGAUCCUUUACAACCAUGAAGGACUUGUAUGCGAAAAUACUUGCCACGAUCAUCUGUUUGCAGACUAUUUUCGUCACUAUCUUCCCGUUAGGGGCUG